RNAcentral lists this ribosomal RNA (634 nucleotides) under uncultured ciliate. Its description in RNAcentral is "SSU rRNA". It matches the Rfam family "Eukaryotic small subunit ribosomal RNA", at positions 326 to 971 of the family's 1831-position model. The record is from RNAcentral. Lineage: Eukaryota; Ciliophora.
UGGUAGUGUAUUGGACAACCAUGGCGAUCACGGGUAACGGGGAAUUAGGGUUCGAUUCCGGAGAGGGAGCCUGAGAAAUGGCUACCACAUCUAAGGAAGGCAGCAGGCGCGUAAAUUACCCAAUCCUAAUUCAGGGAGGUAGUGACAAGAAAUAACAACUCGGGCCUCUUUUGAGGUUACGAGAUUGCAAUGAGGACAAUUUAAACCACUUAUCGAGUAACAAUUGGAGGGCAAGUCUGGUGCCAGCAGCCGCGGUAAUUCCAGCUCCAAUAGCGUAUAUUAAAGUUGUUGCAGUUAAAAAGCUCGUAGUUGAAUUUCUGGCCGGUGCUGUCCUCGGCUCUCGCAGUCGGCUCAGUGCUUGGUCAUCCGUAUGGGAAGCUAGCUCGGCCUUUACUGGUCGGCUAGUGAAUCAUACACUUUACUUUGAAAAAAUUAGAGUGUUUCAGGCAGGCAAUUGCUUGGAUACUGCAGCAUGGAAUAAUGGAAUAGGACUUUGACCUGUUUGUUGGUUUCUUGUGGUCGAAGUAAUGAUUAAUAGGGACAGUUGGGGGCAUUCGUAUUUAAUUGUCAGAGGUGAAAUUCUUGGAUUUAUUAAAGACGAACUUAUGCGAAAGCAUUUGCCAAGGAUGUUUUC